CAAAUGUACUAAAAGAUUAAAGAAAAGAGGAAACCUCACAAGGCAAACUUUGCACCACCUUAGUGCUCACAUGGCCAUUUAACCAGUUAAACUGAAUAUGGGCAAUAAUCUGGUUUCCAGAAAGUAUCCAUCCACUAAAACGUGCACCCUUAAUAAUGCUCUGGGUGGGCUUUGUGGCAGUGCCUAUAAGUGGCUUUCAGAAUAUUUCUUUUAGCAGCAAAAGCUCUUUAAAUUUUGAUUUUACACAGAUCCUCAAAAUAGAACAUAGAAAAAAGCAGUAUUCAUCUUUUUUUUUAGUUCAAAUCUAUAUCACUAACAAAAGAAUGAAGCUAUUUUUAUAAAUAGAAAUAUUUGAAAUCAGAGCUUAAGAUCGAGUUGUGGCAACCAAUUUGUCUCCAUAUUUUGGUUGGUUGUGCAGAAAAAUCCAAAAUUACAUGGAAAAGUCAUUGUAUAUAACAGGUCUGUCUGCUUGUUUUUGACAUGUUGAGUCAACAAGCUCUUGACAGUCUUCAAUAAAAUAGGUCCAGGGGGCUGAAUGAGGAGCAGCAGAACUUGAUUUAUUAACAAUAUUUAAAAUUUGCUCACAUUUCUUAUUUCUUUUUUUAAAAAAAGUAAGAAAGUUAAAUAACAAGCACCUAAAACUUACAAGAAAAUCAGUGACAUAAUAAUAU
RNAcentral lists this long non-coding RNA (671 nucleotides) under Pan troglodytes (chimpanzee). RNAcentral's name for it is "long non-coding RNA NONPTRT007229". Lineage: Eukaryota; Metazoa; Chordata; Mammalia; Primates; Hominidae. The record is from RNAcentral.